Molecule: long non-coding RNA, 1159 nt
Organism: Passer domesticus (house sparrow)
Lineage: Eukaryota; Metazoa; Chordata; Aves; Passeriformes; Passeridae
Exons: 2
Source: RefSeq, a predicted model, not a curated record
AACAGUUGGGCUUGCAAGGGAGCCUGAAGAACAACAUCUUGUUCCCAGCUGAGCAGUCUUCCCCCAGAGCAUGCUGCUCAGAGCCCUGUUGCCAAGGAUGGGGCAUGCACAGCCUCUGUGCACAGCCUGGGCCAGUGCCCCACCACCCCCAGUGGAAAAGAGCAGCUUCCUUAGAUGCAGCUUCAAUCAACCUGCUGCAGUUGAAAGCCAUCCCCCCUUGUCCUGUCAGCACAGGCCCUGCUGAACACUCUGUCCCCUUCUUUCCUGUGGGACCCUUCCAGUCCUGCACAGCCACAGUGAGGCCUCCCAGUGUCUCCUCUGUCCAGGCUGAGCAUCCCCAGCCCCACUUGCCCAGCAGUCAGUCACAUCAGGGCGAGUCAAGGCUGAAGGGUAGCAAAUAACAUCAGGAACUGAGAGAUGCAAGCUUUAGACUCAGGAAGCCUGGCACAAUGUCCAUUUUCUUCUCCAUUUGUGAAACAACAAGCAGAGUCUGGGCAGGCUGAUGAUGCAGAGCACAACCUGAAAAUAUACUAGUGAUCCUGAGCCUGGGGGAUGCAGCUAAACCCAGCCAAAAGGAAUUUCUGGAAAGCUGAUCCUGGUUUACAUUUUCUUCAGUGUGGCUAUGCCAACUUCCCCAGUCAUUUCUAAAAAAGCAAACAAAAAACUCAAACCAAAACAGACAAAAAUCCAAACAAAGAAACCAACAACCAAGCCCACAAAAAGCAAUCCAACAACUAGAUUAAAAAAACCCAAAUAAAACCAAAGGGAAUGAGGAGUUAGGAUUAGUUGUGAGGAUAGCACAGCAGGCAAAUGGCUGCUUGCCACAGGAUCACCAUCAAAAGCCACAUAGAACAGCUGCUCCAAAAUAUACCCAACAGGAGAAAAAGAAAAAGUGAUGCAUGGCAACUUUGGGGGCAGCUCCACAUUCAGGUGAAGGAUGAGCACGCAGUGGUACAGAUCCAGCAUUGCCCACCCUCCAGGCUGCUGUUUGCUCCUGGUGAAAGCCCCUUGCAGGACUGUGGCCCCUCUCAGUGCAGUGUCAGUCAUUCCCAGAGCUCUCAACUGAGCCACUGGCAUUUCCAGAGUGACAUCCAGUGGGAUACCAUUUUCGAUUUGUCUCCUAAUGCCACAGGGGUCCUAAACAGUAUAUGCCAUCCCA